AGUGAACGCUGGCGGCAGGCCUAACACAUGCAAGUCGAACGGCAGCACAGGAGAGCUUGCUCUCUGGGUGGCGAGUGGCGGACGGGUGAGGAAUGCCUCGGAAUCUGCCUAUUUGUGGGGGAUAACGUAGGGAAACUUACGCUAAUACCGCAUACGACCUACGGGUGAAAGUGGGGGACCGCAAGGCCUCACGCAGAUAG
This 200-nucleotide ribosomal RNA is filed under the name uncultured bacterium. Its description in RNAcentral is "partial 16S ribosomal RNA". It matches the Rfam family "Bacterial small subunit ribosomal RNA", at positions 29 to 224 of the family's 1533-position model. The record is from RNAcentral.